Molecule: ribosomal RNA, 1243 nt
Filed under: metagenome
Description: bacterial LSU rRNA
Rfam family: Bacterial large subunit ribosomal RNA
Source: RNAcentral
UGAAUACGAGACGCUAAGGCGUCGAAGUAGUGUAUGUCAUACUUCCAAGAAAAGCUUGCACUGUCAUAGAUAAAAAACGCCUGUACCAUAACCGACACAGGUGGGUAGGUAGAGUAUACUAAGGGGCGCGAGAUAACUCUCUCUAAGGAACUCGGCAAAAUAACUCCGUAACUUCGGGAGAAGGAGUGCCUUAUUCGUAAGGUUGCAAUAACAAGAUCCAAGCAACUGUUUAUCAAAAACACAGGUCUCCGCUAAGUCGUAAGACGAUGUAUGGGGGCUGACGCCUGCCCAGUGCCAGAAGGUUAAAGAAGUUGGUUAGCAAUUGCGAAGCUGAUAACUGAAGCCCUGGUGAACGGCGGCCGUAACGAUAACGGUCCUAAGGUAGCGAAAUUCCUUGUCGGGUAAGUUCCGACCCGCACGAAAGGCGUAAUGAUUUGGAUACUGUCUCGGAGAGGGGCUCGGUGAAAUAGACUUGUCUGUGAAGAUGCGGACUACCUGCACCAGGACAGAAAGACCCUAUGAAGCUUUACUGUAACUUGAAAUUGAAAUUGGACUUUAUUCGCGCAGUAUAGGUGGGAGGCGUUGAUUAUAAUCUUGUGGGAUUAUUGGAGCCAUCAGUGAGAUACCACUCUUGUAAUGUUAGAUUUCUAACUUUGAAUCAUUAUCUGGUCAAAGAACAGUUUCAGGCGGGCAGUUUGACUGGGGCGGUCGCCUCCUAAACGGUAACGGAGGCGUACAAAGGUUUCCUCUGAACGGUUAGAAAUCGUAUCUAGAGUGUAAAGGCAUAAGGAAGCUUGACUGUGAGACCUACAAGUCGAGCAGGGACGAAAGUCGGUCUUAGUGAUCUGACGGUACUGAGUGGAAAGGCCGUCACUCAACGGAUAAAAGUUACUCUAAGGAUAACAGGCUGAUCUCCCCCAAGAGUUCACAUCGACGGGGAGGUUUGGCACCUCGAUGUCGGCUCAUCGCAUCCUGGGGCGGUAGUACGUCCCAAGGGUUGGGCUGUUCGCCCAUGAAAGCGGUACGCGAGCUGGGUUCAGAACGUCGUGAGACAGUUCGGUCCAUAUCCGGUGUAGGCGUUAGAAUAUUGAGAGGAGCCUUCUUUAGUACGAGAGGACCGAGAAGGACAUACCUCUGGUGUACCAGUUAUCGUGCCAACGGUAAGCGCUGGGUAGCUAUGUAUGGAGUGGAUAACCGCUGAAAGCAUCUAAGUGGGAAGCCCACCUCAAGAUAAGUAUUCUCC